AGAACCUGAACCCUGAAAACACGCUGCAAGAAACACGAGCAGCUCAUUCAGGUUCUAGAAUUCUCUUGGACAAAGCAUUUGAAGCUGCCUGAGCUGAAGGAAGCAACAAGAAAAAUUAACCUCGUUAACAACUACAUCUACAGAGAUACAGAGAUCCCAGAAUAUCCUCGACCUCAGUUUCAGGUCAGUUUUCUGAAACAUGAUACAACAGUAGAAGGCUUGAAAGGAAUCCGGCAGGAUGGAGGCUUUAGAGAUCCACAUGGAGGAUCUCUGGUUUGGUGGAGUCUGUCUGUGAGAGAUGAAGAUGUGGGAGCUGCAGAGAGGAAGAUGAUGGAGGAGGAGUACCGCGGUAUGAACGGGCAGAUCAACCUGAAGAGGUUCGCCACCUCCCCAGCCUUUUCUCCAAAAUCCCGGUUGGGCCACUUCCGCUUCACCUUCCCCCUGGAGGAGGUGCUAAAGGCAUACAGUCAGCAGUUCUGCAGUGGUGGUCAGCCCGUCAUGCGGGUCUAUGAGACGGUCCUUUACAAACAGGAAAUAGUGUAUGCGGUGUUGGUCCACAGUCCAGAUGAUCAGAAGAACUUCUCACAGUAUCCUUUAUUGACUGAAGACCCGAAUGCCGUCUGCUUCUUCAGAGAGGGCAGGUUCUUCUGGAGGUCAGAGGCCAUGUGUGAGACACACCGGUUUGGUCUCUUCCAAACCAACAACAGUUUAGAGGUUAAAGGGACCUCUCACUACCAUUAUUAUGUCUGGGACAAUGUCGCCAUCGCGUUUCAUGUUAGGAAAAAGGUGCUGAAGUUUGAUGUGGAUCAGCUCAGACAGAACCUGAAGGACUGUGAGCUAGACUCUGUGACGUACAACUUCACUGACAAGCUGACUGCUGAACAAGCUAAAAAACUGAUCAGAGACUUGUGGCCAGAGUCCCCGGUGGAGAAUCUGCCCCGUCACACUGGGCUGGUGGAACUGCAGGAGAUCCAUGUUAUAGAUCCUGGGGAGUUGGCAGUGCCAGAGGCAGGUGGCUCUGUUGAAGUUGACAUAAAGCCUGUGGGACCACUCCCAGUGCACCGUGCUACUGAUAAAGUAAAAGAGGGGAGUGUUUCCAUGAAGUGCGCCAUGAAGGCCUCCCUUGGACACCAGCUGUGAUCCAGCAUGCCAUCAACCAGCUUGGCCUGGAAGAACCACCAGCUGAAAUGGAGAGGGGUGGAUGUGGAGACUUUUUCUUUUGUUCUGUUAAUUAUUGUUGUGAUUAUGUAUUUAGUUUCUUAUUAGUUCAUAGUUUUUUCAGUCACUUUAUGGUUGGUUAGAAAUCUCAUUUUACCCAUUUGUUUUUAUACUCAUUGUAUAUAUUUGGUCAGGCAUGUUUUUCCCUAUUGUUAAGGUUAUGGUAUAGUCUCAAUUGUAUUUAAGUAGGGUGUUUUUGUGAAGAAGGGAGAUUGUUUCUGGGCCGCUGCCAUGGCACUUUGCCUGUUGGUGAAAUUAAAGAAAAGAAUCAGAGCUCUGAAGAGGACUGUCUCCCUGUAGUUUUUGGGUCCAUCAACAGCUUUAAAUGCAUACUGAGGGUCCACCUUUGGCAAACCUUCACAAAGUGCAACAGGUAACAUGAAUGUACUGUGUACUUGCCCAAACAAGGUGUGGCCUCUUUUGAAAAAAUGACAUAAUUCUUCACCAAGAAGGGAUUUUUAACAAAGAUAGGGCUGGUCUCCCAAAGUAAAGCCUUCAAAGUGAGUCUUAAAGUCUCCAAUCAACUUUUUGAUAAAGUCAGAAUGAGCAGAGACAUUGAUCCAUUUAAUCUCCUUCAAUAAAGGAAAAUGUUUACAGUUCUCCUCCAGAUGCAUCUUCAGAAUGUCCAGUUUCUUCUGAAAAGACCGAACAGCUGUCACCAAGUCACAUGCAGAAUUCUUUUCCUUCAUCCAUCUUUUUUUAUGCUGUUUUGGAUAAAAGAUAUGAGCGUUAUAAAACCUCUCAGCGAUGCCUGAGAGCAGGGACACAUUCUGGCAGGAUGAACAUACCUGUCAGACCUUUUCUGGAAGCUGCUGUCCCUCUUUUCCCCUCCGAUACAGGUUCUGGCAUCGCCUCCAUACACUCAUUGAGUCACUUUUUGUGCUUGCCCAAUAUCCAUUCCACUCGUAGUGAGCACUCAUACUGUAUAAGCCCAUUGUUGUGCUGUGUGCGUCUGUGUGUUGUCUGCUCAUACUGUCCUUUCAGUUUGUGUUUUUUGUGUGGCCGCGUCGCUGACUCUGGCGGGUAAUUUGUAUCAGAAGGUUUGUGUUUUGUCUCGUAGUGCUGCUUGAUAUUGGCGCUUUUAACAAAAGCAACAGACUCCAUGUUUACACACUGGCCUUGUAGGACUCGCCGCUGGUAAAAUGAAAGCGAAAGCUUCAGUCCACUCAUCUCAAAAGACAAUAUUUUCAGAGUCCACUUUUCUCAUAUUAGACAGCACCAUCGUUCACUCAAUUACUCGAUAAAUUUAUGUCCCAACUAUGUGAACAUUAGCAUGCCGCUAUUUGCUGGUUGAAGGACCUCGGUCCACACAAAGCUGUCCUUGUGCGCGCCUGUUCAAAAAUCACUUUGGGUAAAGAUAAAUGUAAUAUCAUACUAUUUUAUUAAUGCGUGGCGGUCCGGAUAAAAGAGUGCCGGGGUCUGGACCCGGACCACGUACCACCAGGUGGGGAC
Molecule: long non-coding RNA, 2670 nt
Filed under: Oryzias javanicus (javanese ricefish)
Lineage: Eukaryota; Metazoa; Chordata; Actinopteri; Beloniformes; Adrianichthyidae
Description: lncRNA (ENSOJAG00000007525.1)
Source: RNAcentral